Molecule: ribosomal RNA, 1441 nt
Filed under: uncultured organism
Description: 16S ribosomal RNA
Rfam family: Bacterial small subunit ribosomal RNA
Source: RNAcentral
GGAUGAACGCUAGCUACAGGCUUAACACAUGCAAGUCGAGGGGCAGCAUGGUCUUAGCUUGCUAAGGCCGAUGGCGACCGGCGCACGGGUGAGUAACACGUAUCCAACCUGCCGUCUACUCUUGGACAGCCUUCUGAAAGGAAGAUUAAUACAAGAUGGCAUCAUGAGUCCGCAUGUUCACAUGAUUAAAGGUAUUCCGGUAGACGAUGGGGAUGCGUUCCAUUAGAUAGUAGGCGGGGUAACGGCCCACCUAGUCUUCGAUGGAUAGGGGUUCUGAGAGGAAGGUCCCCCACAUUGGAACUGAGACACGGUCCAAACUCCUACGGGAGGCAGCAGUGAGGAAUAUUGGUCAAUGGGCGAGAGCCUGAACCAGCCAAGUAGCGUGAAGGAUGACUGCCCUAUGGGUUGUAAACUUCUUUUAUAAAGGAAUAAAGUCGGGUAUGCAUACCCGUUUGCAUGUACUUUAUGAAUAAGGAUCGGCUAACUCCGUGCCAGCAGCCGCGGUAAUACGGAGGAUCCGAGCGUUAUCCGGAUUUAUUGGGUUUAAAGGGAGCGUAGAUGGAUGUUUAAGUCAGUUGUGAAAGUUUGCGGCUCAACCGUAAAAUUGCAGUUGAUACUGGAUAUCUUGAGUGCAGUUGAGGCAGGCGGAAUUCGUGGUGUAGCGGUGAAAUGCUUAGAUAUCACGAAGAACUCCGAUUGCGAAGGCAGCCUGCUAAGCUGCAACUGACAUUGAGGCUCGAAAGUGUGGGUAUCAAACAGGAUUAGAUACCCUGGUAGUCCACACGGUAAACGAUGAAUACUCGCUGUUUGCGAUAUACGGCAAGCGGCCAAGCGAAAGCGUUAAGUAUUCCACCUGGGGAGUACGCCGGCAACGGUGAAACUCAAAGGAAUUGACGGGGGCCCGCACAAGCGGAGGAACAUGUGGUUUAAUUCGAUGAUACGCGAGGAACCUUACCCGGGCUUAAAUUGCAGAUGAAUUACGGUGAAAGCCGUAAGCCGCAAGGCAUCUGUGAAGGUGCUGCAUGGUUGUCGUCAGCUCGUGCCGUGAGGUGUCGGCUUAAGUGCCAUAACGAGCGCAACCCUUGUUGUCAGUUACUAACAGGUUCCGCUGAGGACUCUGACAAGACUGCCAUCGUAAGAUGUGAGGAAGGUGGGGAUGACGUCAAAUCAGCACGGCCCUUACGUCCGGGGCUACACACGUGUUACAAUGGGGGGUACAGAGGGCCGCUACCACGCGAGUGGAUGCCAAUCCCCAAAACCUCUCUCAGUUCGGACUGGAGUCUGCAACCCGACUCCACGAAGCUGGAUUCGCUAGUAAUCGCGCAUCAGCCACGGCGCGGUGAAUACGUUCCCGGGCCUUGUACACACCGCCCGUCAAGCCAUGGGAGCCGGGGGUACCUGAAGUGCGUAACCGCGAGGAGCGCCCUAGGGUAAAACUGGU